This 225-nucleotide ribosomal RNA is filed under the name uncultured bacterium. RNAcentral's name for it is "partial 16S ribosomal RNA". It matches the Rfam family "Bacterial small subunit ribosomal RNA", at positions 524 to 745 of the family's 1533-position model. The record is from RNAcentral.
UACAGAGGGUGCAAACGUUUGUUCGGAUUUACUGGGCGUAAAGCGCGUGUAGGCGGCGUCGUUUAGUCGGAUGUGAAAGCCCUCGGCUCAACCGAGGAAGUGCAUCCGAUACUGCGAUGCUUGAGUGUUGGAGGGGGUGGCGGAAUUCCCGGUGUAGAGGUGAAAUUCGUAGAUAUCGGGAGGAACACCUGUGGCGAAGGCGGCCACCUGGACGAACAACUGGCG